CUGUAAAAAUGCCGUUGAAACUGUUAGACUUGAGUGUAAAUGAGGUAGGCGGAAUGCGUGGUGUAGCGGUGAAAUGCUUAGAUAUCACGCAGAACUCCGAUGGCGAAGGCAGCUUACCAAGCUACAACUGACACUGAAGCACGAAAGCGUGGGGAUCAAACAGGAUUAGAUACCCUGGUAGUCCACGCAGUAAACGAUGAUUACUAGCUGUUUGCGAUACACAGUAAGCGGCACAGCGAAAGCGUUAAGUAAUCCACCUGGGGAGUACGCCGGCAACGGUGAAACUCAAAGGAAUUGACGGGGGCCCGCACAAGCGGAGGAACAUGUGGUUUAAUUCGAUGAUACGCGAGGAACCUUACCCGGGUUUGAACGCAGAGAGACAGGAGUGGAAACAUUCUUUUCAGCAAUGACUGUCUGCGAGGUGCUGCAUGGUUGUCGUCAGCUCGUGCCGUGAGGUGUCGGCUUAAGUGCCAUAACGAGCGCAACCCUUAUCUUUAGUUACUAACAGGUCAAGCUGAGGACUCUAGAGAGACUGCCAGCGUAAGCUGUGAGGAAGGUGGGGAUGACGUCAAAUCAGCACGGCCCUUACAUCCGGGGCGACACACGUGUUACAAUGGUAAGGACAAAGGGCAGCUACCGGGCGACCGGAUGCGAAUCUCUAAACCUUAUCUCAGUUCGGAUCGGAGUCUGCAACUCGACUCCGUGAAGCUGGAUUCGCUAGUAAUCGCGCAUCAGCCAUGGCGCGGUGAAUACGUUCCCGGGCCUUGUACACACCGCCCGU
RNAcentral lists this ribosomal RNA (781 nucleotides) under uncultured bacterium. RNAcentral's name for it is "bacterial SSU rRNA". It matches the Rfam family "Bacterial small subunit ribosomal RNA", at positions 613 to 1397 of the family's 1533-position model. The record is from RNAcentral.